This 711-nucleotide long non-coding RNA is filed under the name Theobroma cacao (cacao). RNAcentral's name for it is "long non-coding RNA (TCAC_LNC005473)". The record is from RNAcentral. Lineage: Eukaryota; Viridiplantae; Streptophyta; Magnoliopsida; Malvales; Malvaceae.
AAAUAGUUUUAUAACAGUUUGGCACAAAUAUAUUAAAUUACGUAUCGUGUAUUAUGUAUAGGUGGUGAGCCCUCUAAUAAGGGUAAAGAUAUCGUACCCGAGGACUAAGAAUAGAGUACUCCAAACUCCUGCUAUUGUGAGUAAUCAGACGAUCAUCUUAACUAUCUAAAGUAAUUUAUAAUUGUUUUUAUAAUUUUAAAGAAAAAUGAACUUAUAUUGUAAAUUAUUAUGUUUUAAACUUAAAGUGUUGGUUAAAUGAAUGAGAUUUAUAAAUUGUUUUGCAAUUCAAUGAUGAUUUUGGAAAUUGAGUAAGUGGAGACUAUAUACUUGUUUUAUAUAUAUGUUUUGACAUAUGGUUUGAAUUGAUGGCUUAUGACAAUGUGAUGGCAUGAAUGGAUGGAUUUGUAGUUUAUGGAUUAUAUAAACUGUUUUGUUUUACCUUGACAGGCUAGGUAAUAUUAUAUUAGCCAUGUCAUGCUGUCAAAAUUUUUAUUGAUUUGGUAGGUUAUUUGAUUAGCUUAUUGCAGUGGGUGGGUUUCCGUGGACCAGCCUAUUAGAGGGGCACGGUAAACCCCGUUAUAUUUUACCUUAGUACGAGAGGCACGGAGGGUAUCUCCUAAGGUAAGUUUAGAGUUCACUUCACGCCGAACCACCACGUGAGGAUGAAACUCAGCCAACGCCAAGGAAUGACUAUAUUUUAAAAGUAAAAAC